GACGAACGCUGGCGGCGUGCUUAACACAUGCAAGUCGAACGGUAAGGCCCUUCGGGGUACACGAGUGGCGAACGGGUGAGUAACACGUGGGUGAUCUGCCCUGCACUUCGGGAUAAGCCUGGGAAACUGGGUCUAAUACCGGAUAGGACCACUGCCUGCAUGGGUGGUGGUGGAAAGCUUUUGCGGUGUGGGAUGGGCCCGCGGCCUAUCAGCUUGUUGGUGGGGUGAUGGCCUACCAAGGCGACGACGGGUAGCCGGCCUGAGAGGGUGACCGGCCACACUGGGACUGGGGCACGGCCCGGACUGCUGCGGGAGGCAGCGGUGGGGAAUAUUGCACAAUGGGCGCAAGCCGGAUGCAGCGACGCCGCGUGAGGGAUGACGGCCUUCGGGUUGUAAACCUCUUUCAGCACCGACGAAGCGCAAGUGACGGUAGGUGCAGAAGAAGGACCGGCCAACUACGUGCCAGCCGCCGCCGUAA
This 478-nucleotide ribosomal RNA is filed under the name uncultured bacterium. RNAcentral describes it as "partial 16S ribosomal RNA". It matches the Rfam family "Bacterial small subunit ribosomal RNA", at positions 28 to 523 of the family's 1533-position model. The record is from RNAcentral.